GAGAUCUGAGAAGCGGGAAAAUGGCGCCGAUGUGAGCGAGAGACCGUGUCGCCGAGGAAGACGCCCCUGCUGGAGCCAGAGCCUCCGAAGGCACGGGAACCAGAGGUGUAACUGAGUAGAGGAUGGAGACAGUAGCUCGGUCUGCCCUUAUCUCCCGUAUCUUGCUGGUGACUCAGAAAGUGGAAUGACUGGGUAAUAUCUGGAGGAACCAUCCAGGCCCAGCUCGGACACGCUGACCACUGUAGAAUCCAGCUCCGGUGAGCCAGACAAGGAGGUGGCAUCUCCAGAUGGGGCAGCUCCAGCCACUUUUUCCUCCGUGGAGGAGCCCAGCCCUAACCCAACAGCCAUGCCACCAGUGUGGGACCAUGGAGGACCUCUGCAGCAAGUUGCCUAUCCAGCCUCAGACAGUUGCCAGACUGGCUCAACCAACACAGGCGUGGGGACCAAUGAGGACCUUCGGUUGCCCAGACGCCGUCCACCGCCAGGGAAACAAAUACCCUGCUCUAGCCCCGGCUGCUGCCUCAGUUUCCCCAGUGUUCGUGAUCUAGCACAGCAUCUCCGUACCCACUGCCCACCCACACAGUCACUGGAAGGCAAACUCUUCCGAUGCUCCGCGCUGAGCUGCACUGAGAGUUUCCCCAGCAUGCAGGAGCUGGUAGCCCACGGCAAGCUGCAUUACAAGCCCAACCGCUACUUCAAGUGUGAGAAUUGCCUCCUGCGCUUCCGCACUCACCGUUCACUCUUCAAGCAUCUGCAUGUUUGUAUAGACCAUGGUCAGAACCCAGCCCCGCCACCACCCCCUGCCCUGGACAAAGAGCCACCUGUACCCGAGCGUCCCCCAGAGUCCGACCCUUCGUCUUCCCUGGGCCUGCCAUUCCCACUACUUGAGCCUUUUACCUCUGCCCCCACUGGGCCCUUCCUUCCAUACUUGAACCCUGCACCCUUUGGCCUGAGUCCCCCUCGACUGCGCCCAUUCCUGGCUGCCACUCCAGGGCCACCAGCAUCCAGCACUGCCAUCUGGAAGAAGAGUCAAGGCGCUACCAGUAGUCCCAGAAGACCUCAGGGUGGCUCUGAUGCGCCCUCAGGUGCGUGCAGGUGACCACCAGGGCAGGGUGGAGGGGCCUUCAUUCCUAUGCCCUGUGUGGGCCUUGCGAAUGCUGGAAAGCAGCAGUGCCUGUCCCUUAAAAUACAUGAUUUUUACCUUUAAAA
This is an RNA transcript of Mus musculus (house mouse), 1209 nucleotides long. It is a transcript of the gene named zinc finger protein 414, with no coding region annotated. The record is from RefSeq and is marked validated. Lineage: Eukaryota; Metazoa; Chordata; Mammalia; Rodentia; Muridae. The transcript has 7 exons.